RNAcentral lists this ribosomal RNA (253 nucleotides) under uncultured bacterium. RNAcentral describes it as "partial 16S ribosomal RNA". It matches the Rfam family "Bacterial small subunit ribosomal RNA", at positions 524 to 776 of the family's 1533-position model. The record is from RNAcentral.
UACGAAGGGGGCUAGCGUUGUUCGGAAUUACUGGGCGUAAAGGGCGCGUAGGCGGCCUACUAAGUCGGACGUGAAAUCCCUCGGCUCAACCGGGGAACUGCGUCCGAUACUGGUGGGCUCGAAUCCGGGAGAGGGAUGUGGAAUUCCAGGUGUAGCGGUGAAAUGCGUAGAUAUCUGGAGGAACACCGGUGGCGAAGGCGGCAUCCUGGACCGGUAUUGACGCUGAUGCGCGAAAGCCAGGGGAGCAAACGGG